This is a long non-coding RNA of Canis lupus familiaris (dog), 2438 nucleotides long. RefSeq lists it as uncharacterized. Lineage: Eukaryota; Metazoa; Chordata; Mammalia; Carnivora; Canidae. The transcript has 4 exons. The record is from RefSeq and is a predicted model, not a curated record.
CCUUGCUCUGUGUGUUGGGGGGCCGAUUUCAGAUUAUACCAGAGAAGCUCUGGAAGUUGCAAAAACGUUUCCACCAACACUGCACACCCACGUGAAAACCAGAGUACAGGAGAGAAAAGGGAAGAAAAAGAGGAGCAUGAUGAGCACCAUAUAAACCACCAGAAGAUGUGGCAAAGGGAGAGCACUCCAGGGAACAUCGUUGCUGUGAAUGCAUGGGCUUUCCCAAGUUCCUCUCCUGAUGUUCCCUCCCCUUAAGGAUGAUAAUUUGGUGGCCAUUUGCUCGUUUUUGAGAAAGCCAAGCAUGAGAACAAAAACAUUUAGAGGAAGACAGCCCAAUGUCAUCACUGUUGCAAAGGAUGAAGACAAGAUGUGAGGAAUUAAGCCAAAGGAGAAACCAAAGAAUUAGACUAAUUACUUGUUAUAACAAGUAUUGGGCUCUCUAGAUAAAUGGGAGGAAAUGGUGAUGUCUCCUCCCUCUCAUCCACUCUAACCUAAAAACAGCCGUGUUUUACAGAGCAUGCCUGACCCGACCUACUCACCUGGAAAGCAGGGAACUUGAAAAUUAAAGCAAAAUAAAGGCAUUUUUUAGCUGCCUCUAGAAGACAAGCUCUGUCCUGCUUCAGUGUGCUCACCGCCUAGAAGCAAGAGUGGGGAAGGAGGAAAAGUGGGUAGAGAAACAACAGAAGUGCUCCCACCCGUUGCCCCCCUACCCUGUUCCUCAGCCCUGCAUGGAGAGGAAAGGAGGAUUCCUCUCUUCUAGGGAAACAUGUGGACAGAAAUGAAAAGCUCCUUCCCCCCCAACAGAGGAUAACACAUUCUGAGGAGAUCAUGUGGAAAAUACAGUAUUUAGAGCUCUGCCAGCUGAGAUUUUUUGGAGCAAGAGAAAUGUACCUGAAAUGUGUCAAAAUGAAUAUCCUCCGAAGGAAAUAAUAGCACAUCUUUGCAUAGCCCAAGAUGGAGCAUAGGGCCAACAGAUGGCAACUAAAGAUGGAGUGACCAACCGUCCUGGUUUGCUCAGGACUGCAGGGUCCUCCAGGACACAAUUUUCAGUUCCAACCAAGACAUUGCUGGGCAAACAAGAACACUUGGUCACUUGGGAUGACAGAUUGCGAUUCAAUGAAGGGAAGACACUUUUAACAGUCAGGACUGUCCAACGGGAGGUAAUGAGUUCACUGUUUGGAGAUGCUCACUCUCGGCUCAGCAUGAGGCUGACACUAACUGAAAGGGAGGUGGGAAUUGGUGACUUUCCAAGGCAACCCACCUCUGGAGUCUGGAACUUCAUAUAUGCGGAAGGCCUAUGUGAGAUGAGGAGCUAAAUUCUGUGAGCCACGGAGGAAAAGAGUUUCUUUAAUUCCAAACAAUGCAUUAUAGUCUCAGUAGUCAUAGCUUUUCUUUCAUGGGUUGACCGCUCACAACUUAAAGCCAACACAGAGAACAGUGCUGGUGCCCUUUCCCGGGGCCAGCCUCAGGGCCUCAGUUAAAGGUGAAUAGCCAGUGUCGCUCAUAGGGGUCACCCUAAAGGAGGGAGAGCAUCCCAGUGCCCCUGCCUUUUAAAAAUUGUAUUGGAAUAUAAAAUUAACAAAGUCAUAAUUGGUUUGCUUUUAGCAUGGAUAUAAUAACCUUUCUCUAAGAGAUUUAUUUUUUCAUGCGUUUCAUAUAUAUAUGUUUGUGCUAGAAACAUAUAUAUAUAUAUAUAUAACACAUAUAUAUAAACAUAUAUAUCAUACACACACACACACACACACACGUUUUGCUUCUGCUAGAAACUGCAAGUACAUUGUAAGUAUGAUGCUCUCUGAAAAGGAUUCGAUUUGGGAUCCCUGGGUGGCGCAGCGGUUUGGCACCUGCCUUUGGCCCAGGGCGUGAUCCCGGAGACCCGGGAUCGAAUCCCACAUCGGGCUCCCGGUGCAUAGAGCCUACUUCUCCCUCUCUCUGCCUGUGUCUCUGCCUCUCUCUCUCUGUAACUAUCAUAAAUAAAUAAAAAUUAAAAAAAAAUAAAAAAAAAAAAAGGAUUCGAUUUUACUUGCCAUGGUAGCCUGUGUUGAAUUACACAGUGGUUAGGCUGGUGAGAAGGAAGUUAGUUCAUAGAAACCUCUCUCUCAGUUCCUUCUUUCUCAAAACUAUGUAACAAGGGCCUGCUUUUUUUUUUUUUUUUUUUUACAAGAGGUAGGGGAGGAAACACCAGAAAGGAUAUGGUCAGUGUCACCACAAACUUGGAUUAUUUAAAUGCACUUGUAACAAGAAAGUCCCAAAUCCAUGAGUAACAGUUCCUGUAUACCUUAAAGCCUGUGGACCUAGGGCAGCAAUGACUUACAGCUGCAGGAGCCAAGGCCUCCAUUUGGCUCACAGGGACUGGCCUGGUCCACAGUCAUCAUAGGAGCUUACGAUUGGAAUGACUACAUGUUUCCAUUUGCUCAGGACAGCCCUGGGUUGUUCAU